This 94-nucleotide ribosomal RNA is filed under the name Cavia aperea (Brazilian guinea pig). Lineage: Eukaryota; Metazoa; Chordata; Mammalia; Rodentia; Caviidae. The record is from RNAcentral.
UUCUCUUGCCAUACCACCCUGAACGCGCCCGAUCUCGUCUGAUCUCGGAAGCUAAGCAGGGUUGGGCCUGGUUAGUACUUGGAUGGAAGACAAG